This 864-nucleotide ribosomal RNA is filed under the name uncultured bacterium. Its description in RNAcentral is "bacterial SSU rRNA". It matches the Rfam family "Bacterial small subunit ribosomal RNA", at positions 574 to 1439 of the family's 1533-position model. The record is from RNAcentral.
GGCGGUUAGAUAAGUNUGAAGUUAAAGGCUGUGGCUUAACCAUAGUAUGCUUUGGAAACUGUUUAACUUGAGUGCAGAAGGGGAGAGUGGAAUUCCAUGUGUAGCGGUGAAAUGCGUAGAUAUAUGGAGGANCACCGGUGGCGAAAGCGGCUCUCUGGUCUGUAACUGACGCUGAGGCUCGAAAGCGUGGGGAGCAAACAGGAUUAGAUACCCUGGUAGUCCACGCCGUAAACGAUGAGUGCUAGGUGUUAGGCCCUUUCCGGGGCUUAGUGCCGCAGCUAACGCAUUAAGCACUCCGCCUGGGGAGUACGACCGCAAGGUUGAAACUCAAAGGAAUUGACGGGGGCCCGCACAAGCGGUGGAGCAUGUGGUUUAAUUCGAAGCAACGCGAAGAACCUUACCAGGUCUUGACAUCCCUCUGAUCGCUCUAGAGAUAGAGUUUUCCUUCGGGACAGAGGUGACAGGUGGUGCAUGGUUGUCGUCAGCUCGUGUCGUGAGAUGUUGUGUUAAGUCCCGCAACGAGCGCAACCCCUAUUGUUAGUUGCCAUCAUUCAGUUGGGCACUCUAGCGAGACUGCCGGUAAUAAACCGGAGGAAGGUGGGGAUGACGUCAAAUCAUCAUGCCCCUUAUGACCUGGGCUACACACGUGCUACAAUGGCUGGUACAACGAGUCGCAAGCCGGUGACGGCAAGCUAAUCUCUGAAAGCCAGUCUCAGUUCGGAUUGUAGGCUGCAACUCGCCUACAUGAAGUCGGAAUCGCUAGUAAUCGCGGAUCAGCACGCCGCGGUGAAUACGUUCCCGGGCCUUGUACACACCGCCCGUCACACCACGAGAGUUUGUAACACCCGAAGUCGGUGAGGUAAC